AUUGAACGCUGGCGGCAUGCCUUACACAUGCAAGUCGAACGGUAGGGUAGCAAUACUUGAGAGUGGCGAACGGGUGAGUAAUAUAUCGGAACGUGCCCAGUCGUGGGGAUAACGUAGAGAAAUUUACGCUAAUACCGCAUACGAUCUAAGGAUGAAAGCGGGGGAUUCGCAAGAACCUCGCGCGAUUGGAGCGGCUGAUAUCAGAUUAGGUUGUUGGUGAGGUAAAAGCUCACCAAGCCGACGAUCUGUAGCUGGUUUGAGAGAACGACCAGCCACACUGGGACUGAGACACGGCCCAGACUCCUACGGGAGGCAGCAGUGGGGAAUUUUGGACAAUGGGCGAAAGCCUGAUCCAGCAAUGCCGCGUGCAGGAAGAAGGCC
This 381-nucleotide ribosomal RNA is filed under the name uncultured bacterium. Its description in RNAcentral is "bacterial SSU rRNA". It matches the Rfam family "Bacterial small subunit ribosomal RNA", at positions 30 to 416 of the family's 1533-position model. The record is from RNAcentral.